GAGAAGCUUGCUUCUCUUGAGAGCGGCGGACGGGUGAGUAAUGCCUAGGAAUCUGCCUGGUAGUGGGGGAUAACGUUCGGAAACGAACGCUAAUACCGCAUACGUCCUACGGGAGAAAGCAGGGGACCUUCGGGCCUUGCGCUAUCAGAUGAGCCUAGGUCGGAUUAGCUAGUUGGUGAGGUAAUGGCUCACCAAGGCGACGAUCCGUAACUGGUCUGAGAGGAUGAUCAGUCACACUGGAACUGAGACACGGUCCAGACUCCUACGGGAGGCAGCAGUGGGGAAUAUUGGACAAUGGGCGAAAGCCUGAUCCAGCCAUGCCGCGUGUGUGAAGAAGGUCUUCGGAUUGUAAAGCACUUUAAGUUGGGAGGAAGGGCAUUAACCUAAUACGUUAGUGUUUUGACGUUACCGACAGAAUAAGCACCGGCUAACUCUGUGCCAGCAGCCGCGGUAAUACAGAGGGUGCAAGCGUUAAUCGGAAUUACUGGGCGUAAAGCGCGCGUAGGUGGUUUGUUAAGUUGGAUGUGAAAUCCCCGGGCUCAACCUGGGAACUGCAUUCAAAACUGACUGACUAGAGUAUGGUAGAGGGUGGUGGAAUUUCCUGUGUAGCGGUGAAAUGCGUAGAUAUAGGAAGGAACACCAGUGGCGAAGGCGACCACCUGGACUAAUACUGACACUGAGGUGCGAAAGCGUGGGGAGCAAACAGGAUUAGAUACCCUGGUAGUCCACGCCGUAAACGA
This 740-nucleotide ribosomal RNA is filed under the name Pseudomonas canadensis. RNAcentral's name for it is "bacterial SSU rRNA". It matches the Rfam family "Bacterial small subunit ribosomal RNA", at positions 73 to 809 of the family's 1533-position model. The record is from RNAcentral. Lineage: Bacteria; Pseudomonadati; Pseudomonadota; Gammaproteobacteria; Pseudomonadales; Pseudomonadaceae.